Molecule: long non-coding RNA, 1707 nt
Organism: Gadus chalcogrammus (walleye pollock)
Lineage: Eukaryota; Metazoa; Chordata; Actinopteri; Gadiformes; Gadidae
Exons: 2
Source: RefSeq, a predicted model, not a curated record
GACCUUUUUAUUCUCUAUAACUGACAAAUCAUGAUGACAUCUGGGUAUACGGACACCGCUGGAACAAGUCCGUGCUCCAGUUUCUUGUUUACAGGGCAGACCAGUCCGCCCAUCUCAUAUAUGAUUGGUUAGUUUAACUUAGUGACACCAGCCUCUUUCUGAAAGGUUGAGAUGUUUUCAACCAGAAGCUGGGAGCGGCCGCACAGAAGGAAAACCGACGCUGGAACAAGAGGCUUUUUGAACACAGGCCAUUACAGCAGACGCCGUGUGCAGUGACCACAGCCGCCAUUCGGCGGUUGUCUUGACGUCAGGAGACAAGAUGGAGGCCGGUGUUGUGGCAGUUUGUACAGUUGGUGCUGUGGUGCUCGUCUCUGGCGGGACGCCAGGCUGCAGCUACCGGGGCUUUUCAGAGUCAACACUCAGCACACCAUGUGACCCAGGCAGCCAAUCAGGUCGCCCAGGCAGCCUGUCUUCAAACCAGUCAGAUCAGUCCUGGGCCAGCAGCCAUCUUGGUUCUACACGCUAGCUGGGUGGGGAACUGAAUAAGGAUUCAUACAUUCUAUUAUUUGAUCUGAUGAGAGAUUAUAUCUGUUUUCAUGAUGUUAAAGCUAUUUAGAUUUAGUAUAAUUGUGUUAAUAUUGUAUAUCAUAGGAUAGUAUAAAAUACUGAAUAAAUGAAAGGCUAUCUAAAUAACCAAAAUCUUAAAUGCCAUUAAUAAAUGUUUUUGUGAAUGUAUAAGUAUCACAUGGCUUCUUAUUUUUUAAGACUAAAUAUAAUAAUUUAUUAUUAAUUUCUGUAUUUUUUUAUUCAAUCAAGUCCUAAGGAUUAAUCUAUAACCUAACAGCCUUUAAUAAUAAACCUAACCUCUAAACGAAAUAUGUAAACCUAAUUUAGCAAUAAGUACAUUAAAUUUAUGUAGGCAGAACAAUUUUUAUGUAUUUAUUGACAGAAUAACCAAACUAUGAUCCAAUUCCCCAAAGAACACAGAAAACCCAGCAAAGAGCAUUAAAGCUAAAGCAUCCUAGCUCGACUGUGGUAGCCUAUGUAGCAAUGCAAUUCUCUAGCUAGCAGAACUUUAAGGCUGAAUCCGAAUAAUUAGUAGGCCUACAUACUAUUUCUGUUCAGUGUCUACCACUUGACGGUACUGUCUACGGCUAUGCGUAGAACGCCUCCGAACGCUUCCGAACACCGCCGAAACUCCACCGGAUGUUUGGAGAUGACGUAUCUCCCCUCAGAUGCCGGCAAAAUUACCUUGAUAAGUUGCCUGUUUUCCGUCUUGUCAUCGUUGCUAUCAAAUAAAAAAUGUCUCUUUUUACUUAAUUACUUACUUUACUAUUUUACUCUUUUUAAUGUCUCUUUUUUUCGAUGCUUACUACGACGUCUUUCUGGUGGCGUCGGGUCAGCCAUCUCUUCUUCGUUCGUUACCAGACUCCGGUUGCAUUGUGGGAUAGCGUAGUGAACUCCGUGGUUUACUUUGGCGGUAGUACGCAUUCGGAAACGUUUUCCGUACUACACAAUGCGUACUGAGCAUUCGGACGCGCUAUAUUUGUGGCGUACUACAAAAUACAUACUAUAUAGCAGUCAAGUAUGAGUAUUCGGAUUCAGCCAGAAUCUCACUGUCCAAAACCUUGAUUCAGAAUCUUUGAACAUUAUUUGAAACAUAAAAAUGACUAAACAAUAUAACAUAAUUUAAAUCUUAUAAGAUGA